Molecule: ribosomal RNA, 403 nt
Filed under: bacterium
Lineage: Bacteria
Description: partial 16S ribosomal RNA
Rfam family: Bacterial small subunit ribosomal RNA
Source: RNAcentral
UGGGGAAUAUUGCACAAUGGGGGAAACCCUGAUGCAGCGACGCCGCGUGAACGAAGAAGGUAUUCGUAUCGUAAAGUUCUGUCCUAUGGGAAGAUAAUGACAGUAUCAUAGAAGAAAGCUCCGGCUAAAUACGUGCCAGCAGCCGCGGUAAUACGUAUGGAGCGAGCGUUGUCCGGAAUUAUUGGGCGUAAAGGGUACGCAGGCGGUUUAAUAAGUCGAAUGUUAAAGAUCGGGGCUCAACCCCGCAAAGCAUUGGAAACUGAUAAACUUGAGUAGUGGAGAGGAAAGUGGAAUUCCUAGUGUAGUGGUGAAAUACGUAGAUAUUAGGAGGAAUACCAGUAGCGAAGGCGACUUUCUGGACACAAACUGACGCUGAGGUACGAAAGCGUGGGGAGCAAACAGG